RNAcentral lists this transfer RNA (95 nucleotides) under Enterobacter phage PG7. RNAcentral describes it as "tRNA-Met". The record is from RNAcentral. Lineage: Duplodnaviria; Heunggongvirae; Uroviricota; Caudoviricetes; Pantevenvirales; Straboviridae. RNAcentral also lists the same sequence under 3 other names.
ACGGAACGUUCGGAUAUGGUAGAGGCAUGGCCUUCAUAAGAUAAAUUGUGACGUCAAUCGCAAUUUAACCUGGUUCGAAUCCAGGCGUUCCGUAC